This 762-nucleotide long non-coding RNA is filed under the name Phoenix dactylifera (date palm). RNAcentral describes it as "long non-coding RNA (PDAC_LNC018508)". The record is from RNAcentral. Lineage: Eukaryota; Viridiplantae; Streptophyta; Magnoliopsida; Arecales; Arecaceae.
GCAUCUUCAAGAUGCAUCCCUUGGAGAUGCAUCCCUACGCCUAUUAUAAAUAGGUUAGCGCUCCAUGGGUUUCAUCAUUCCAACUCCAUCCCACUCCUCUCCUCUUUCUUUCUUACAUUAGUUUCUUUCUUUCUAGCAUUGCUUCUAGUGUGUCCUAAGCCAAAACAAGGUGGUCUUCUUUAGGACAAAAGGAUUAGAAGUGAUUUUAGAAGGUUAAAGAAAAACAAAAAGGAAGAAAAGCAAGCCAUUAGAGUUCUUUAGAAGAAUUCUGCAUUAAGGAUCAAAGUCUUUGGAGCUUAAGACUUGAAUCAAAUUUUCAUGUGGAUCAACGUUGGAGGGUGAACACUUGGGCACCAAGUAGAAAUUCUGCACAUUGAUUAGCGUUAGAGGUAUUCUUCUAUUUCUGCAUUUAUAUUAUGUUAUUUGAUUGCUUCCAUUAAGGUGAUCUUGGCUUAUAAGGGUUUCAUGUUAAGAAACUUUAUCAAGAAAUUUUUAAAAUCCCUAGCUUCCGCUGCUCAUUAUAGCGUGCUAGAACCCUACAUCUUAUGCCUCUUCCCUCUCUCUAAUGUGCUCGAGUCCCCUUAUGAUCUCUCUCUCUCCCCUUGUUUUAUACGGUGCAUGCUUUCUAUUUACCUUUCUCCUUCCACCACACCCAACACUCUCUUCCUUAUCCAUUUUCUUCUGUUGUCGCCUCUUGCAUCUCCUCUCUCGUGUCCACCAAUACCUCUUGUAUCUCCUUAUCUGCUCCUCCAUUAUCUCUCU